CGCGCAGGCGGUCAUUUAAGUUUGGUGUUUAAGCCCGGGGCUCAACCCCGGAUCGCACUGAAAACUGGGUGACUUGAGUGCGGGAGAGGAAAGUGGAAUUCCACGUGUAGCGGUGAAAUGCGUAGAGAUGUGGAGGAACACCAGUGGCGAAGGCGACUUUCUGGACCGUAACUGACGCUGAGGCGCGAAAGCGUGGGGAGCAAACA
This 206-nucleotide ribosomal RNA is filed under the name uncultured bacterium. RNAcentral describes it as "partial 16S ribosomal RNA". It matches the Rfam family "Bacterial small subunit ribosomal RNA", at positions 568 to 774 of the family's 1533-position model. The record is from RNAcentral.